UAGGGAAUCUUCGGCAAUGGGGGGAACCCUGACCGAGCAACGCCGCGUGAGUGAAGAAGGUUUUCGGAUCGUAAAGCUCUGUUGUUAAGGAAGAACGAGUGUGAGAAUGGAAAGUUCAUGCUGUGACGGUACUUAACCAGAAAGGGACGGCUAACUACGUGCCAGCAGCCGCGGUAAUACGUAGGUCCCGAGCGUUGUCCGGAUUUAUUGGGCGUAAAGCGAGCGCAGGCGGUUAGAAAAGUCUGAAGUGAAAGGCAGUGGCUCAACCAUUGUAGGCUUUGGAAACUGUUUAACUUGAGUGCAGAAGGGGAGAGUGCAAUUCCAUGUGUAGCGAUGAAAUGCGUAGAUAUAUGGAGGAGCACCGGUGGCGAAAGCGGAUCUCUGAUCUGUAACUGACGCUGAGGCUCGAAAGCGUGGGGAGCGAACAGG
This 429-nucleotide ribosomal RNA is filed under the name Verrucomicrobiota bacterium. Its description in RNAcentral is "Verrucomicrobia bacterium partial 16S ribosomal RNA". It matches the Rfam family "Bacterial small subunit ribosomal RNA", at positions 355 to 776 of the family's 1533-position model. Lineage: Bacteria; Pseudomonadati; Verrucomicrobiota. The record is from RNAcentral.